GGACGCAAAAAAGGUGGGGCAAACUAUAGACUGACUGCAGAGAAGCUCGCUGUAGGCCGGGGGGUCUGAGUCGCGCGCCGGCGACGAGCCUCGAGCACGGUGCUCAAACGGUGGCUGGGCGGCGCCGGCGCCGGCGCUGAUCGUGAACUGUAAUUUGGAUUUGGGAGAUUAGGGUUUCUGGUUAGAGAAAGGAGCAGGAAGAAGAAGAAGAUAGAGAAAGAAGUCAUUAUCUAAUGGUCAACCCUCCGAGACGACAAAACUUUGCAGUUCGAUGAUCAAUUUUCAGGGAAGAUAACCGACACUUCAUCUUCAUAGGCUAAGAUUGCUGCUUCCAAUCUAACAUUUGAAGUAGAUAAGGUGCCGUUUGGAAGCUGUAUUCUGAAUCCUGAUUCUGGGUCACGUGGGAGAAUCCGCGUUUGGAGGCCCAAAAUCACGGAACUGGCCCAGAAUCAAAUUGUACUUUUGGGAUCACUUUGAAUCUUGAUUUCAAAAUCAAGGAGGGCCUGAUUCAGCCCGUUCCCAAAUCAUGUGAACAGUGCUCCCCCCGAGUAAUGACCCCCACCCACUCCUGACCCCAUCCACUCCUGCCGACCAUUUUUCCCUUGGCCAGAGAAUCUCUCUAGCUUUCUCCAUGCGUUUCACGCGUGAGUUUGCAGAGCAUCUCCAGCUUUUCCAGUUUUUCUCCUCUCUUUUCUUUCGGUUUCCACUCCUCUUCCCGGUGGACUCCUCUUUGCAUAAGCAGCCCAACCCGCGGCGGACUCCUCUUCUGGAGUUGAUGAGAAAUGCUUCAAGUGCUCGAGUGAUUGUGAACAAUCGACGGAAGCUCCACAUUUGGUACCAAUUUCGCCGAUACUACCAAGGUAAGGCCAUUUAUCGCCUUCACCGGAGAGGAAACAGACGGGGAAUUUACAAAAGUCCUUCAUCUGUGUUUGGAGCUCUGCAGGCGGUGUCCUUCAUCUCCUCGUCGGACUCGAACUUGGUAAGGAUGCCUAGGAAAAAACCCAAAUGAGAGGCCGUUAUAUUGGAGUCCCGCUGCAGAGGCAUUUCUACUUGAGCGACUAUACGAAUACAAUGACAUAAACCACAGGAAGCUACCAAAUGGGCUGCUCGGAUGGCCACUUUUUUCGAUGGAUAUGUACCUGGCGGUGAGCGGCUGAGGGAGAAACGCCACCGACUUGGCAACCUUUACUCAACGUAUAAGACACUGCAAAACCAUAUAGGAGUAGGGUGGGAUCCUAAUUAGUAAAACUUUCACAUGCUCGGAGGAACUGCGGACAUCUCUUUGCAAGGAUGCAACCCGAAAAUGAGGAACGUGAUAGAACGACGUCUUCAAGGCCGAAUGGAGAUUUAUGGCCGUAAUAAGUGAAGCCAUGGCUGCAGCCGCUUAUUUGUCUAGUGACAGAGUAAGAAGGCCGAUGCACAAUUCUUCUUUAAGGGGCAUGGACAAGGUAAAUGAGCUAUUAGCAAACAGUAAUGAGACUGCAAUGUUUAACAAAGUGCGUAUGGGACCACGUGAUUAUAUGAUUCUAUGUGAAAUGCUAACUGAGAAAGGUUUGCUACGACCCUCAUACUACAUGAGCAUACCUGAAUAAUUAUUUGUGUUCUUAACAAUCGUUUCACAAAGCCAAAGUAAUCGUGAAUCACAAGACGCAUGGCAACAUUCAGGGGAGACCAUAUCACGCAGGUUUAAUGAAGUUUUAGAUGCUAUUUGUGCUCUACAUGAUGAUUUCAUUAAGCCCCCAAAUUAUGACAAAGUGCCUGAAUUUCUACGCGCCAACCGUCAGAGAUAUAGUACAUGGUUUGACGAUUGUGUAGGCGCAAUUGACGGUACUCAUGUACCUUGUACACCAAUUGGUGUUCAUAAUCCAGCAGGGUGUGAACUCUCAGACCAUAUUGGCAGCCUAUUCAUUUGAUAUGAAGUUCACAUACAUAUUAUCCGGUUGGGAAGGUUCAACCCACGACGCUCGAGGGCUCGCGGAUGCGCUUGAGAAUCCUAGGUUUCAGUUCCCACGUCCCUCACCAGGUUACACUUAUGUCUAUUUAUUAUUAUGGAUCUUCAAUUUGCAGCCUAAUUUGGAUAUGUUGCACAGGAAAAUACUAUAUUGUUGAUGCAGCGUAUGCGAACAAUGAUUGUUUUCGCGCUCCGUACAGAGGUGAGACUUACCAUUUGCCUGAUUAUAGAAUGAGAAAUGGUGGAUUUCAGGAACCUAGGGAUAUUUUUAACUACAAACACUCAUCAUUGAGAAAUUGUAUAGAGCGAACAUUUGGGGUUUGAAAGGUUAGGUUUCUUAUCCUAAGGCGGCCUAAUAAUACAUAUCCAAUGAAUAAACAAUUGAAAAUUCCAGUUGCCUGUGCAAUACUACAUAAUUUCAUUCACAUGGUUAAUGAGGGGGAUCCGCUUCUAAGUCAAUACCACCGUGAUGGUGUACCUGUAAGUGAAAUAGAUCCAAAUAAUGAUGAUGAAUUUGAUGACGAUGCCAAUGAGGGCAAUGUUCCUGAAGGCUCAGUUGUAACAACAGGUAGUGUUAGUCGUACAGGUAUGGGUCGUUUUAGGGAUCGCCCUGCGAAUGAAAUGUUGGUAGAAUAUCAGGAAAGUCGUCGUACACAAGUUUGAAAGUAUAUAACAGCAAUGAGAUUCUACCUCUAUUACUUCAUAAUUCGUUUAUUCAUUAUAGUUGCAAAAAAAAUUUUGACGUUCGUAACGCACAUUUGUAUCAUGUGAAUUAAUUUCUCUUUUCAACUCGAAUGCUUGUUAUUUGCCUU
Molecule: RNA transcript, 2763 nt
Organism: Morus notabilis
Lineage: Eukaryota; Viridiplantae; Streptophyta; Magnoliopsida; Rosales; Moraceae
Exons: 6
Source: RefSeq, a predicted model, not a curated record